This is a long non-coding RNA of Phacochoerus africanus (Common warthog), 4238 nucleotides long. RefSeq lists it as uncharacterized. NCBI's taxonomy places the organism in Eukaryota, Metazoa, Chordata, Mammalia, Artiodactyla, Suidae. The record is from RefSeq and is a predicted model, not a curated record. The transcript is spliced from 3 exons.
GGCAGAGCUGGAAGCAUUUGGAGGACAAUGGAACACAUAAACAGAUGCUGUCACACAGGUGCUUUGCCUGCAGAGACCUGCACCCUCGAGACAGGGCAGCAGUGGCACACGCCAUGCCCUGGAGCCACAUGGGACCUGAGUCCGGGCCCUCUCUGUGCCGUUUCCCCUCCGGGCUUGGGUAAUCAAGCACUUACGGCCUGGGAAGGUGGGGAGUAUGGAACCAAGCCAUGCCCAGUCCUCAAUCAGGUGUCAUCGAUCAGGUGGAGUCUUGAAGGGUCUCUGUAAAGGCUCUCACGGUGGAAAACGGCCCCACGUCAGCUGGGACCAGGUGAUGGCUGCUGUCUUUGCUGCUACCGUGCUGGCAAUGUCGGCAUCAGGCCCCUAGAGAGCUGCCACUCAGGUAUGCCCUGUCUUGGAGGGCCGUCCGCUUCAACUGCUGGCUGCUGUGGCGUGGCAGAGGCGACAGCUCGGGGGUCCCCUGGUGCCAUACUGACCAGUUUCAGGAGAGCUGCUGACCAGGAGAGCUGCUCACUCCUCCUCUGGCUUCUUGGCUGGCUGGCCGGGUUCCCUUGUUGCUUGAAUAACCACAACCCCUCUGAAGAGGCAUCCCACUGGGCCAAGUCUGGCCUUCUGCCCCCACCUCAGGCCCACUGCCUCUGUGAUGGUCAGCCUGUCGCACCGCUGCAGUCUGUCUCCCAGAUGAGACCAGAUGCCACCUCCUCAAGGAGCGACAGCGCAAAGGCAGAUGCCAGUUAGAACCUGAGCUGUUCUCUCAGCAUUGGCUUCCUCCACAGGCACGCGGACACCGCGUGGGGAUGCAGGUGCUGCUGACCCAGAGAGCCGGGCACUCUGCAUAAUCCCACUCAGCCCCCAACCAGCGGGCUGUGCGAAUGGCGAGGGUCUCAAGUUCCUCUGGGGCCAAGCGCUGGCCAUCCCACACGGAGCUUAUCUUAGACUUUGACCUUGUUCACUGUCUAGUCUCGACCAGACGAAGAUGUCUGAGCUCCCCCUCAAGUCAUUCCAGCUGGGUCUGCAACAGCCUUUCCAAGUGUCUGGGGCCUCAGUUUCUCUGGCUGUUGCAAGGGGACCCCAGGGGCCUCUUGGGUCACCAGUUCAGUGAUGGCUGGGGCUGUAUCCACUGGUUACUUGUGCCACCGGCCCACCUGGAUGGCAGAGAUUUGGGGUCACAGGGCUCAGCAGAGGGUUGAUUUCCCCCCAGCAGUGCUGGACCUGCCUUGUGUGGGCAUGGCCAGGUGCCCCUGCUCCCAGGGAGCUCACAUCCAGGGCUGGGUAGGCAGGCAGGCAGGCACACAGGGCUCCAGGCCAGAGGCUGGGUUGAACAGGCUGAUCAGGGACCCAGAGAUUCCAGCGGGGAGAGGCUGUCUUCCCAGAAAAUCCACCUGAGCUUUCCACCCUCAGGACACAGACUAGGAACCUGACUCUGAAGCCUGAGGGGAAUAAACAUGGAUUCUAGAUGGACUCAGGCUUUCUUGCUGGAGCAGGCCAACCAGCUAAGUGUCUUGGCUGUUUGGGAGAUGGACAGUGCAGGAAGGAUGUCUUGGAAGCUUAUGGGAUACAGGCAAAAUGUCACUCCAUGUGGACCGCUUCUGCCAGGACUGGGCCUCCAUCACACUGUGUACCUGGGCCUUCCCAGGUCCUGUCUGGCUUUGGGUGACUCCCCAGCCAGCAGCUGCUUCAUCCAGAGCAAGAUAGAUGAGCACCCAUCAGGGUCCCCAGCUGAGAGCACUGGCUACAGAGGGUGUGCCGGCAGUGAGGUGACCUUCAGCAGGAACGGAGGAGGCAGGUCUGAUGACCACAGAGGACAGGACGCAGGGGCUCCACAUGCCCAAUAGCGUGAACACUGAAGCCAAGGGCCUCCGAUCAAAUUCUGGUUCCGCCAAGUACACACCUCGGGACCUCCGGUGAGUGACUGAACCCCUAACCUUCGGCUUCUUUGCCCUUGAGAGGAAUUAACAGUGUUGCUCACCUCGCAGGGUUGAUGUGAGAUGCUGGAGAUAAAGGGUUUUAGCCCAGCACCUGGGACUCAGUGAGGACCCGUAAAUGACAGCUUGAAGGAAACGAAUGGGUUCUCCUUUUAGGCCCCUAAAUCUAAGGAGAGUUUAAUCAAAGCCCCAAACUAGCUAUUCCCCAAGUUCGGCCCCUCCAGAGAGGGGUCGCCCCCUAAUGUCAAACAGAGCUGAGAGAGUGAGGGAUCCAUCAAUAAUGUGACCAGAGCGGCCAAGGACAGGGAGUCCAGAUGCCAGAGGGGUCUCCUGAGGCCGGGGUCUCCUUCGCCUCCAGUGGGCUUGAAGGCUGGAGGGAAGGCAGUGUAGGGCUGCGGGCAUCCUGCAGGUGCCCAAUGCCGGGCCGUGGCUGCAAGAAAAGUGCUGCCACAGCUCCUUACCAGCAUGUUUGCAUUUAUACUGUUUUAAUUCCAAUGUGACUUUUAGGCCGGAGACACUGGAUGCCACAAACAAGCUGUUUUAUUUCCCCUCCUAAACCCCACUAUGAUUUAUAGGCCAGCUCUGGUGUAAUCCCAUUCUUUGCUCAUGAAGGAGAGGGCAGCUGUUUACAUGGCUCCGUGGGGCAAGGUCUGCCUGACAGAUGUGGGGUCGGGUGGCUGUGCACACGUGCUUGUCUUUGGCAUUCUGCCCUCUUAAAAGCUUUCAACUGAUUAUUUUUUAAAACUUUUUAGUCCGUGAAAAAAUGUAAAUAAGUUUGUAAUAACAGAUGCUCUUUUAUGGGCAUUACUUUUAUGCUUCAAUUAAAAAUUUCCCAAUCGUCAAAUGAAAGAGCGUGAAAUUAUUACCUCCAAUAAAGGCUCCUAUUGCUUCUCUGCUCAGAAGCACCUUUCAUCAGAGUAGAUCAAAGUGCAUCCGAAACACUAAUUAACUGAGCCUCAGAACCCUCCGUGAGAAAGGGAAGUCCCAUAGCCUCGCUAGCUGAUAAGGCAGGCCAGGGACAGAGAGGGUGAUUCAUUUACCAAAGGUCACACAGCAGGGCUGUGCCAAAGAACAGAAUUUCUAUGUGAGCUGGGGGGAUGGGAAGGUGGGGAAAGUAGGAAGUUCGCUAAUUAAUAAUGCUCAGACCCAAAAGCACUGUAUUAAAAAAAAAGAAAGAAAGAAAAAGGGACUUGAAUUGACUCUAGGACUGAGCUGGGCACCUAUUAUAUAACCCACCUCCCCAGUUCCUGGGAAAGUUCGUUCUGCAGGUGCUUGCUGACCACUUUGAGAAGGAUGCUUGUCUUUGCCAGGUUUCUUUCCGCGGCCAGUGAAAGGGCUUUCAGAUGCUCUGGCAGCUCCUCUUUCCAUAUGCUUUAAAUGGUGCUGACUUUUAAACUCAUGUUCAGCGAGUGCUCUUGGCAGAAGAGAACGGAACAAAGAUGUACAGUGAUGGGAAACGCAAUCCAAAACCACAGAGUUCUCAAAGCACGCUCCCUUUGGAGAGCUCCUCUGGUUUAUGGAGCAGCCCUGGGACGUUACAUGGCGCAAUGAGCAAGUCUGUUUUGCCGAGCAGAAGGUUGGCUUCAGAGGGGAAGCCAUCACUCAGCUGGUAAGCCAGGCCUACACGGUGCUGCUCUGAUGGGCAAGGACCUGGGAGGCUAUGUGCUGGCAUUUGGGAGUACCCCACCUGGGAGGGACUGUGGCUGUGUCCUUCCUGCCCCAUCGGUGGUUCAAGGACUGCACCAUGCCAGUGCUGCCCCCUGGGCUGUGUGUCUGUCUGAGGUCCAGCUGUGCUGCUUGGGGAGAUUUCAGGGCUGGGAGGUAGGGGAGGCCUAGCCCUGUUUCACUGUCACGCAUCUACCAGUUCCGUCCCCCUCAUUAGCAGAGCAAGGACACAGGGAGAGCAUGCAGGUUUGGGGGGCAGAGGAUGCUGGGAACGCAAAGUAAGGGGCAGAGGACGUUCCCCGGGAAGUAAUACUGGGGUUUGCGGACAGACCUGUAACACCGCUAGGGGAGGGGCUGGGAGGGGCUCUCACGGUACCUCUGUAGUCACACCUCCCACCCAUCGAAGUCCUAAUGUCCUUCACAAGUCCCCCUCUAAGGGUACUUCUGUGAUGACAUCUGCUGGCACAGCUGAAGUUGGAUCUUGUCCCCAGGCUUCCUGUCUCCCGGCAUCUCAACUGUCUCUCCCAAUUAAUGUCUGUGUUUUUCCCGAUGUCUCCGCCACAAAGGCAAGUGCUUUGCAGAGUCCGAGCUCCGUGGGUAUGGGCUGAACACGCAGAGAAACACACCCAC